Molecule: ribosomal RNA, 445 nt
Filed under: uncultured bacterium
Lineage: Bacteria
Description: partial 16S ribosomal RNA
Rfam family: Bacterial small subunit ribosomal RNA
Source: RNAcentral
GUGCGGAAUAUUGGACAAUGGGCGCAAGCCUGAUCCAGCCAUGCCGCGUGCAGGAAGACGCAUCUAUGGUGUGUAAACUGCUUUUGUACGGGAAGAAACACUCACUCGUGAGGGAGCUUGACGGUACCGUAAGAAUCAGGAUCGGAUAACUCCGUGCCAGCAGCCGCGGUAAUACGGAGGAUCCAAGCGUUAUCCGGAAUCAUUGGGUUUAAAGGGUCCGUAGGCGGUUUAAUAAGUCAGUGGUGAAAGCCCAUCGCUCAACGAUGUAACGGCCAUUGAUACUGUUAGACCUGAAUUACAAGGAAGUAACUAGAAUAUGUAGUGUAGCGGUGAAAUGCUUAGAUAAUACAUGGAAUACCAAUUUCGAAGGCAGGUUACUACUUGUGGAUUGACGCUGAUGGACGAAAGCGUGGGGAGCGAACAGGAUUAGAUACCCUGGUAGUCC